Myotis davidii is the source of this 2154-nucleotide long non-coding RNA. RefSeq lists it as uncharacterized. Lineage: Eukaryota; Metazoa; Chordata; Mammalia; Chiroptera; Vespertilionidae. The transcript is spliced from 2 exons. The record is from RefSeq and is a predicted model, not a curated record.
GGAAAUUGCCAAUAUGUGAUGUAUUUACCUUAGGAAAACAGAUCAAGAAGCCUGGAGGCUGGCAUGGGUCACAUAGUCACACGAAGCUGAUCUAGAGUUCAAACCCAGGCCCGUCGGAUGAGGACUCUAGAGUAAGGCAACCCUGAAUUCUAAUUCCAGCCAUCACUUACCAGCUGUGUAUCCUGGGACCAGUUUCUUAACCUCUCUGAGCUUCAUUUCUUCAUCUAUAAAAUGGGGACAAUCCCUGAACCUUGUUCAUUAGGUGUGGAUUAGAGGAGAGGCCGCAUUAAGACACUUAGCACAAUGCCAGAUGCAGAAGGGGUGUCCAGUGAACGUUAGCUGUGCUUGUCGUCGUUGCAUCAGUAUUCCAAAGCCUGGGCUGCUAAGCAACUUCCCAGCCUGCUGUGGGGGAGGUGCCUUCUGGAGUCAAUGUGUGUUCCCUGGACAGAAAGGAAAAGAGAUUUUACAUGACCAGUUCCAGUGUUCCUGGUAAAUAGUCUUCAAACGCACGCACGGUGGGAGGAGAGCCAGGCACCGUGUCUUCUGGUUUCCAGCACUGCAGGCCCCUGCUCGGUCCUUCCUCUCUGGAGGUCUUGGGUCCUCAAGAUACUGAACAAACACACUGACUCUGAGAUGAUUCCUACACGUUAGCAUCUACUGGGUGCUACUACAUUCUACAGGGGACAGGCCCAGGAGGAAGCAGGCUUCCCACUGGAGAGUCGCUGGGGCAGCUCUGUGCUCACUCAAGGCAGCCUUCCUAGGAGCUCCUUCUGCCUCCUUUUCCCAUGAACCAGCCUGAAGAAGAGGGUAUUUCCGGGAAAUCCCAGCUGCCUUUGCUCUGGAGAGCCACUUCCAUCGGCGAGGGGUCCUGCGAGUCCCGCUGCCCUCAGGCCUCAUGUAUGCGCUUUCUGGUUUUGUGUCCAGAUGUUUCUGAUACAUGCGUGCAUGCCGCUGUGUGUGUGUUUCUGGGCCCAAGUGGAGCAGCGCUGGCAUGGGCCGGGGGUUGGCAGCAACAUCUCCAGGACACCUUUUACCCAUUACAUUCCUCGCCUGGGCGGGGCGCCUUCCUGCUGGCUUAAAAAGUGUCACCAGAAGCCCUGGAUGAAAAAUACAGCUUCUGAUUCAUGCGCACAGUCAGGAAGCAUCCCUUGCUCAGUACAGAAACUUGUCGGUCAACCUGGGGAAGGAAUCACCACCACGAUAUGUGCUUUGGCUUGCCAAAGCUCAGGAGCUUCCAGAGCCAAAACCCCAGCUGCCUGGAUUGUCUGGAGAAGGUGGGGGCUGGGGCGAGGGUGGGAGGAGGGGUGGGGAGAAAGCAGGGCUCUCGGAAUCAUCUGAUUCCUACCCCCCCAAUUCCGUCCUGUUUAAUUCCAAGCUAAACCCACCUCCAAAUAUCUAAUGGGCCAAUUGAUCCUAAAAACCGCGUUGAACACUACCCCUUCCAGCUCUGUGCCUGCUGGCAAGGUGAAGCAGAUGGCUUCUAUCGAUAAAUGUAUUUACUUGGAAGGGGCUGCUGGAAGUCAGGAAAUGCCAGCGAGACGAGUGUGCGUGGCUCUGGCCAGAACUGCCGUGACAAUCAUAAGCAGACACCCAGACAGUGUCAGGUUGAAAGAAAUCGCAGCUAAACCCCAGGAACCUGGGGCAUUUUCCAUCCCUCUCCCGUCUGGCCGCCAUGUCAGCCGUACACUUAGGAAGAGAUACCUCAUUUGGUUCAACAUUCUGUGGUAUUCAAAGGUUUGUAGGAGCCAUGGAGGGCCUGCUUUCUCAAAAGGGGUUCAUAAACCAAACAGGCCUGUCACUUGGACCUCAUCCUGAGGCCCUCACUAUCUAGACAGACCCAAACAGAAACUCCCACUGCCUUGGAGCCCAGCACAUAAAAUCCUCUUUAAUACACACACACCAUUUUUUUUUUUUUCCAGUGGAACGGCCUCAAGGUGUUAAAAGUACAUAAAGGUCUGAAAGCUGAAACCUUAGAUAAACAGUGUGCCGAAAUAUAUUUAGCAGAAAAUAUUGAAAGCCACAGGAAAAAUAUGUUCUCUUCCCGGGAUGUUAACAAAGGUUUAGGUUCAGGAAACCUUCAGGAAAUAGCGCGUUGGGUUGAGGAGGACUACUGCUCAAUGUAAAUAAAUCACUAAACCUCUUUGGCCUCCGUAA